This 85-nucleotide transfer RNA is filed under the name Synechococcus sp. RNAcentral's name for it is "tRNA-Ser". It matches the Rfam family "tRNA". Rfam says of the family: Transfer RNA (tRNA) molecules are approximately 80 nucleotides in length. Their secondary structure includes four short double-helical elements and three loops (D, anti-codon, and T loops). Further hydrogen bonds mediate the characteristic L-shaped molecular structure. tRNAs have two regions of fundamental functional importance: the anti-codon, which is responsible for specific mRNA codon recognition, and the 3' end, to which the tRNAs corresponding amino acid is attached (by aminoacyl-tRNA synthetases). tRNAs cope with the degeneracy of the genetic code in two manners: having more than one tRNA (with a specific anti-codon) for a particular amino acid; and 'wobble' base-pairing, i.e. permitting non-standard base-pairing at the 3rd anti-codon position. The record is from RNAcentral. RNAcentral also lists the same sequence under 13 other names. Lineage: Bacteria; Bacillati; Cyanobacteriota; Cyanophyceae; Synechococcales; Synechococcaceae.
GGAGAGGUGGUCGAGUGGUUGAUGGCUCCGGUCUUGAAAACCGGCGACCCGCAAGGGUCCGUGGGUUCGAAUCCCACCCUCUCCG